UACCAGCACCCCGAGUGGUCGGGACGUUUAUUGGGCCUAAAGCAUCCGUAGCCGGUUUUACAAGUCCUCCGUUAAAUCCAGCUGCUUAACAGAUGGGCUGCGGAGGAUACUAUAAGACUAGGAGGCAGGAGAGGCAAGCGGUACUCAGUGGGUAGGGGUAAAAUCCGUUGAUCCAUUGAAGACCACCAGUGGCGAAGGCGGCUUGCCAGAACGCACUCGACGGUGAGGGAUGAAAGCUGGGGGAGCAAACCGG
This 253-nucleotide ribosomal RNA is filed under the name uncultured bacterium. Its description in RNAcentral is "partial 16S ribosomal RNA". It matches the Rfam family "Archaeal small subunit ribosomal RNA", at positions 474 to 727 of the family's 1478-position model. The record is from RNAcentral.